RNAcentral lists this ribosomal RNA (253 nucleotides) under uncultured bacterium. RNAcentral describes it as "partial 16S ribosomal RNA". It matches the Rfam family "Bacterial small subunit ribosomal RNA", at positions 524 to 776 of the family's 1533-position model. The record is from RNAcentral.
UACGUAGGGGGCAAGCGUUGUCCGGAUUUAUUGGGCGUAAAGAGCGUGUAGGCGGCCAGACAGGUCCGUUGUGAAAACUCGAGGCUCAACCUCGAGACGCCGAUGGAAACCGUCUGGCUAGAGUCCGGAAGAGGAGAGUGGAAUUCCUGGUGUAGCGGUGAAAUGCGCAGAUAUCAGGAAGAACACCCGUGGCUAAGGCGGCUCUCUAGUACGGUACUGACGCUGAGACGCGAAAGCUAGGGGAGCAAACGGG